GGCGCUUGGGCAAGUCCAUUUGUCACCAGGGUGAAGCUUGCGCUAAACUUCAAAGGCCUGAGCUUCGAGGAUGUCGAGGAGGACCUCAGCAACAAGAGCGAGCUCCUCCUCAGCUCGAACCCGGUGCACAAGAAGGUGCCCGUGCUCGUCCACAACGGAAAACCCAUUUGCGAGUCAGUGAUCAUCGUGCAGUACAUCGAUGAGGCGUUCGCCGGCAUCGGCCCCUCUCUCCUUCCCUCUGACCCCUACGAACGCGCCAUUGCCCGCUUCUGGGCCGCCUACAUUGACGACAAGCUCGUCACCCCAUGGGUAUAG
Molecule: ribosomal RNA, 315 nt
Filed under: Triticum aestivum (bread wheat)
Lineage: Eukaryota; Viridiplantae; Streptophyta; Magnoliopsida; Poales; Poaceae
Description: partial small subunit ribosomal RNA
Source: RNAcentral